Long non-coding RNA from Hipposideros armiger (great roundleaf bat), 421 nucleotides. RefSeq lists it as uncharacterized. NCBI's taxonomy places the organism in Eukaryota, Metazoa, Chordata, Mammalia, Chiroptera, Hipposideridae. The transcript is spliced from 3 exons. The record is from RefSeq and is a predicted model, not a curated record.
AAUACUUUGAAGGUGACUGUAGAGAUAUUCGGCAAUGAGAUGAUCUAUAGAGAUACCAUCCUCCUUGAUCUUCCUGUGAUCCUACAUGUCUUCCUGGAUAUGCUAAGAAUAUGUAUUGCAGCUGAUGGCACUGGAACCUAAGUCUGCAAACUAAGGCCUGAGAGCCAACUCUGACCCAAGGCCUGUGUUGGAAUGACUUCCUUUUGCAUGGCCUGCAAGUGAAAAAUAAUUUCUACAUUGUUAAAGUUUGAAACAAAAUAAACAAAAAAGAAUAUGUGACAGAGAUCAUAUGUGGUCUACAAAGCCUAAAAUAUUUACCACCUGGCCCUUUUCAGAAAAUGUUUGUGGACCUCUGCACUAGAACAAAUCCCUAUGAAGGUAAGAUUUUUAUCAAUUUACUGUUGUUUCUCAGUGCCUAGAA